Molecule: ribosomal RNA, 259 nt
Filed under: uncultured bacterium
Lineage: Bacteria
Description: partial 16S ribosomal RNA
Rfam family: Bacterial small subunit ribosomal RNA
Source: RNAcentral
UACGUAGGGUGCGAGCGUUGUCCGGAAUUAUUGGGCGUAAAGGAGCUUGUAGGUGGUUUGUCGCGUCUGCUGUGAAAAUCCGAGGCUCAACCUCGGACUUGCAGUGGGUACGGGCAGAUCUAGAGUGUGGUAGGGGAGACUGGAAUUCCGUGGUGUAGCGGUGGAAUGCGCAGAUAUCAGGAGGAACGACCGGUGGCGAAGGCGGGUCUCGCUGGGACGGUACUGACGCUGAGACGCGAAAGCGUGGGGAGCGAACAGG